UUAAGAGUAAGUUAAGUAAACUGUAGACCUGUGGAGUCUAAAAUCCAUUUUGGCUUUUGAG
This 61-nucleotide transfer RNA is filed under the name Bulinus nasutus. RNAcentral describes it as "tRNA-His". Lineage: Eukaryota; Metazoa; Mollusca; Gastropoda; Planorbidae. The record is from RNAcentral.